GAUGAACGCUGGCGGCGUGCCUAAUACAUGCAAGUCGAGCGAACAGACGAGGAGCUUGCUCCUCUGACGUUAGCGGCGGACGGGUGAGUAACACGUGGAUAACCUACCUAUAAGACUGGGAUAACUUCGGGAAACCGGAGCUAAUACCGGAUAAUAUAUUGAACCGCAUGGUUCAAUAGUGAAAGACGGUUUUGCUGUCACUUAUAGAUGGAUCCGCGCCGCAUUAGCUAGUUGGUAAGGUAACGGCUUACCAAGGCAACGAUGCGUAGCCGACCUGAGAGGGUGAUCGGCCACACUGGAACUGAGACACGGUCCAGACUCCUACGGGAGGCAGCAGGAGGGAAUCUUCCGCAAGGGGCGAAAGCCUGACGGAGCAACGCCGCGUGAGUGAUGAAGGUCUUCGGAUCGUAAAACUCUGUUAUUAGGGAAGAACAAAUGUGUAAGUAACUAUGCACGUCUUGACGGUACCUAAGCAGAAAGCCACGGCUAACUACGU
RNAcentral lists this ribosomal RNA (496 nucleotides) under uncultured bacterium. RNAcentral describes it as "partial 16S ribosomal RNA". It matches the Rfam family "Bacterial small subunit ribosomal RNA", at positions 28 to 506 of the family's 1533-position model. The record is from RNAcentral.